Molecule: ribosomal RNA, 522 nt
Filed under: uncultured bacterium
Lineage: Bacteria
Description: partial 16S ribosomal RNA
Rfam family: Bacterial small subunit ribosomal RNA
Source: RNAcentral
UGGGGAAUCUUGCGCAAUGGGCGAAAGCCUGACGCAGCCAUGCCGCGUGAAUGAUGAAGGUCUUAGGAUUGUAAAAAUUCUUUCACCGGGGGACGAUAAUGACGGUACCCGGAGAAGAAGCCCCGGCUAACUUCGUGCCAGCAGCCGCGGUAAUACGAAGGGGGCUAGCGUUGCUCGGAAUUACUGGGCGUAAAGGGAGCGUAGGCGGACUGUUAAGUUAGAGGUGAAAGCCCAGGGCUCAACCUUGGAAUUGCCUUUGAUACUGGCAGUCUUGAGUACGGAAGAGGUAUGUGGAACUCCGAGUGUAGAGGUGAAAUUCGUAGAUAUUCGGAAGAACACCAGUGGCGAAGGCGACAUACUGGUCCGUUACUGACGCUGAGGCUCGAAAGCGUGGGGGAGCAAACAGGAUUAGAUACCCUGGUAGUCCACGCCGUAAACGAUGAGUGCUAGUUGUCGGCAUGCAUGCAUGUCGGUGACGCAGCUAACGCAUUAAGCACUCCGCCUGGGGAGUACGGUCGCAAG